RNAcentral lists this transfer RNA (91 nucleotides) under Campylobacter porcelli. RNAcentral describes it as "Campylobacter sp. RM6137 tRNA-Ser". It matches the Rfam family "tRNA". Rfam says of the family: Transfer RNA (tRNA) molecules are approximately 80 nucleotides in length. Lineage: Bacteria; Pseudomonadati; Campylobacterota; Epsilonproteobacteria; Campylobacterales; Campylobacteraceae. The record is from RNAcentral.
GGACAGAUGGGUGAGCGGCUGAAACCACACCCCUGCUAAGGGUGCAAGUCUUAAUCAGGCUUCGAGGGUUCAAAUCCCUCUCUGUCCGCCA